RNAcentral lists this ribosomal RNA (460 nucleotides) under uncultured bacterium. RNAcentral describes it as "partial 16S ribosomal RNA". It matches the Rfam family "Bacterial small subunit ribosomal RNA", at positions 338 to 795 of the family's 1533-position model. The record is from RNAcentral.
CCUACGGGAGGCAGCAGUGAGGAAUAUUGGUCAAUGGACGAGAGUCUGAACCAGCCAAGUAGCGUGAAGGAUGACUGCCCUAUGGGUUGUAAACUUCUUUUAUAUGGGAAUAAAACGUUCCACGUGUGGGAUUUUGUAUGUACCAUAUGAAUAAGGAUCGGCUAACUCCGUGCCAGCAGCCGCGGUAAUACGGAGGAUCCGAGCGUUAUCCGGAUUUAUUGGGUUUAAAGGGAGCGUAGGUGGAUUGUUAAGUCAGUUGUGAAAGUUUGCGGCUCAACCGUAAAAUUGCAGUUGAAACUGGCAGUCUUGAGUACAGUAGAGGCAGGCGGAAUUCGUGGUGUAGCGGUGAAAUGCUUAGAUAUCACGAAGAACUCCGAUUGCGAAGGCAGUUCACUGGACUGCAACUGACACUGAGGCUCGAAAGUGUGGGUAUCAAACAGGAUUAGAUACCCCAGUAGUC